CCUACGGGGUGCAGCAGUGGGGAAUAUUGCACAAUGGGGGAAACCCUGAUGCAGCGACGCCGCGUGAAGGAAGAAGUAUUUCGGUAUGUAAACUUCUAUCAGCAGGGAAGAAAAUGACGGUACCUGACUAAGAAGCCCCGGCUAACUACGUGCCAGCAGCCGCGGUAAUACGUAGGGGGCAAGCGUUAUCCGGAUUUACUGGGUGUAAAGGGUGCGUAGGUGGAUCGUUAAGUCAGUGGUCAAAUUGAGGGGCUCAACCCCUUCCCGCCAUUGAAACUGGCGUUCUUGAGUGGAAGAGAAGUAUGCGGAAUGCGUGGUGUAGCGGUGAAAUGCAUAGAUAUCACGCAGAACCCCGAUUGCGAAGGCAGCAUGCCGGCUUCCGACUGACGCUGAAGCACGAAAGCGUGGGGAUCGAACAGGAUUAGAUACCCUAGUAGUC
This 439-nucleotide ribosomal RNA is filed under the name uncultured bacterium. Its description in RNAcentral is "partial 16S ribosomal RNA". It matches the Rfam family "Bacterial small subunit ribosomal RNA", at positions 338 to 795 of the family's 1533-position model. The record is from RNAcentral.